Molecule: ribosomal RNA, 368 nt
Filed under: uncultured bacterium
Lineage: Bacteria
Description: bacterial SSU rRNA
Rfam family: Bacterial small subunit ribosomal RNA
Source: RNAcentral
CAGCAGUGAGGUAAGGUGGGUAUGUUAAUAGCAUACUCAUUUUGACGUUAGCUGCAGAAGAAGCACCGGCUAACUCCGUGCCAGCAGCCGCGGUAAUACGGAGGGUGCGAGCGUUAAUCGGAAUUACUGGGCGUAAAGCGCAUGCAGGUGGUUUGUUAAGUCAGAUGUGAAAGCCCCGGGGCUCAACCUCGGAAUUGCAUUUGAAACUGGCAAACUAGAGUACUGUAGAGGGGGGUAGAAUUUCAGGUGUAGCGGUGAAAUGCGUAGAGAUCUGAAGGAAUACCGGUGGCGAAGGCGGCCCCCCUGGACAGAUACUGACACUCAGAUGCGAAAGCGUGGGGAGCAAACAGGAUUAGAUACCCUGGUAG